RNAcentral lists this ribosomal RNA (245 nucleotides) under uncultured bacterium. Its description in RNAcentral is "partial 16S ribosomal RNA". It matches the Rfam family "Bacterial small subunit ribosomal RNA", at positions 524 to 768 of the family's 1533-position model. The record is from RNAcentral.
UACGGAGGGUGCAAGCGUUGUUCGGAUUCAUUGGGCGUAAAGGGCGCGUAAGCGGUUUCUUAAGUCUGAUGUGAAAGCCCCGGGCCCAACCCGGGAAGUGCAUUGGAUACUGGGAGACUUGAGUAUGGGAGAGGAGAGUGGAAUUCCUGGUGUAGGAGUGAAAUCCGCAGAUAUCAGGAAGAACACCGGUGGCGAAGGCGGCUCUCUGGACCGAUACUGACGCUGAGGCGCGAAAGCAUGGGGAG